GCGGGGAUGCCAGAGUGGUCUAAUGGGACGGAUUUAGGCUCCGUUGGCUCAGUGCCUUCCUAGGUUCGAAUCCUAGUCCCCGCA
This 84-nucleotide transfer RNA is filed under the name Candidatus Pacearchaeota archaeon. Its description in RNAcentral is "tRNA-Leu". It matches the Rfam family "tRNA". Rfam says of the family: Transfer RNA (tRNA) molecules are approximately 80 nucleotides in length. Their secondary structure includes four short double-helical elements and three loops (D, anti-codon, and T loops). The record is from RNAcentral. Lineage: Archaea; Nanobdellati.